UGAGCUCACCUUAGGACACCCGCGUUAUCUUUUAACGGAUGUGCCGCCCCAGCCAAACUCCCCACCUGACAAUGUCUUCCGCCUAGAUCGCGCCCCGAAAGGGCUUAUGGCCAGAAAGUGGGGCUUUGGGCCCCAGCUCUACUCAACGGAAUAAGUAAAAUAACAUUAAAAGUAGUGGUAUUUCACCGGCGCUUGCGCUCCCACUUAUUCUACACCUCUUAAGUCAUUUCACAAUGUCGGACUAGAGUCAAGCUCAACAGGGUCUUCUUUCCCCGCGGAUUAUUCCAAGCCCGUUCCCUUGGCUGUGGUUUCGCUAGAUGGUGAGUAGGGACAGUGGGAAUCUCGUUCAUCCAUUCAUGCGCGUCACUAAUUAGAUGACGAGGCAUUUGGCUACCUUAAGAGAGUCAUAGUUACUCCCGCCGUUUACCCGCGCUUGUUUGAAUUACUUCACUUUGACAUUCAGAGCACUGGGCAGAAAUCACAUUGUGUCAACACCCUCUGGGGCCAUCACAAUGCUCUGUUUUAAUUAAACAGUCGGAUUCCCCUUGUCCGUUACAGUUCUAAGUUAGCUGUUCGUUGUCCAGGGAGUGCGGCCACCCCGUAGCACACCGCCGGCACACGGCUCGCCCCCAGUAAAGUGAGCGUUCCAUACGCUAGCUGUGGCCCCAGAAUGGAGCCCCUGAACCCAGCCCUUAGAGCCAAUCCUUUUCCCGAAGUUACGGAUCUAUUUUGCCGACUUCCCUUACCUACAUUAUUCUAUCGACCAGAGGCUGCUCACCUUGGAGACCUGAUGCGGUUAUGAGUACGGCCAGGUGUGAGAAUAAACGCCUCCCUUCACUUUUCAAGGGGCGUCGGGAGCGCACCGGACACCUCAAGACGUAAGGUGCUUUGCCGCGCAGCCUACCGUAUCUCCGGUUAACCCGAUUCCACGGUAAAGGCGCACAAUGUCAAGAAGAAAAGACAACUCUUCCCAGGGCUCCCGCCGCCGUCGUGAAGUUCGCUUAUGUUGCCAUGCAUUAUCCACACGCUGGUCCGGGAAUAUUAACCCGGUUCCCUUUCGAUAGGCGGCCUCACGAAUGAGGCCCUUGAAACGGAGUUCCCCUAUCUCUUAGGACCGACUAACCCAUGUCCAAUUGCUGUUCACAUGGAACCUUUCUCCACUUCGGUCUUCAUAGGUCUCAUAUGAAUAUUUGCUACUACCACCAAGAUCUGCACUAGAGACCGUUUCACCCAGACUCACGUCCAAGGCUGCUUCACAAUCUCCACGCCCUCCUACUCGUUGGCGCAUCGCACUCACGCCAACGGUGCUGUCUAGGACGCCGGCUUGAGCGUUAUCCAUUUUCGGGGCUAGUCCAUUCGGCAGGUGAGUUGUUACACACUCCUUAGCGGAUUCCGACUUCCAUGGCCACCGUCCUGCUGUUUGUAUGAACCAACACCCUUUGUGGGGUCUACAUGAGCCGGCAGUUAAACUCCUUAACAGCACUUUCGGUUCAUCCCGCAUCGCCAGUUCUGCUUACCAAAAAUGGCCCACUUGGAGCUCCAAUUCACUGCCCAUGCCCAAUUAAGUGGCAAGGACCUCUUACCUAUUUAAAGUUUGAGAAUAGGUCGAGGAUGUUACACCCCCGAGGCCUCUAAUCAUUCGCUUUACCCGAUAAAACUUGUGCGAGCUCCAGCUAUCCUGAGGGAAACUUCGGAGGGAACCAGCUACUAGAUGGUUCGAUUAGUCUUUCGCCCCUAUACCCAAAUUUGACGAACGAUUUGCACGUCAGUACCGCUACGAGCCUCCACCAGAGUUUCCUCUGGCUUCACCCUAUUCAGGCAUAGUUCACCAUCUUUCGGGUCCCAACAAAUAUGCUCUUACUCAAACCUUUCACAGUAGAUCCUGGUCGGUCGAUGGUGCACCUCAUAAAAGGAUCCCACCUACGUUCACUUUCAUUUUGCAUCCAAGGUUUGCCACCUUACUACUCGCAUACGUGUUAGACUCCUUGGUCCGUGUUCCAGACGGGCUGGUUGAAGCCAUUGUGCCAGCAUCUUCAGAACGCAGGUCCAGCGCUCCACUGUAUCAACCCCAACGCAGAAUCAGAACACCGGAGUGUGCUAACGCUACGCGAAGCGCACAAUGGGCCGGCCGCUAGGCGCGUUCUUGGUGCCUCGGUCCCCCACGGGUCAUGCGCUCAGAGCCAAAGGUUUUUGACGCCUUUGCCCUCUAAGCCUUGUCCCCCACAGAGAACCGAUGCUGGCCAGCGCGACAGCAUGGUAGGGGUUGAAGCAAGCUCCAGCCCUGGUAUCCCGCCGCGCAGGAUAGGCUCCAAUCACUUCUCCUCUCAACAAUUUCAAGCCCUUUUUCACUCUCUUUUCAAAGUUCUUUCCAUCUUUCCUUCACAGUACUUGUUCGCUAUCGGUCUCUCGCCAAUAUUUAGCUUUAGAUGGAGUUUACCACCCGAUUUGGCCUGCAUUCCCAAGCAAGCCGACUCUUUGGAGCACACUUACCACGCACAGCCGACCGAGUCAAAGACGGGGCUCUAACCCUCUCUGGCACCCAGUUCCAAGAACGGAUUUCUACCCGGGGCUGCACAAGUUUGCACCUAUAGACUACAAUUCCGAAGAUUUUAGGCUUGAGCUCUUCCCUGUUCACUCGCCGUUACUAGGGGAAUCCUGGUUAGUUUCUUUUCCUCCGCUUAGUGAUAUGCUUAAGUUCAGCGGGUAGUCUCGCCUGAUUUGAGAAUGAAGCCCGAGGACCGAAGUCACUUUCCAGAUCGGUUUCUUGAGUCUACAUUGGUGCUACCCUUCAUUACUGCAAGUCCACUGGCGCACCAGAAGCUCCAACGCUAAAACAAUGCCGCUCCUCCCCGAAGAGAGAGGCUGGCACAUCGUUUGAGCGCAUAGGCUGGAGCCGCUGUUCAGCGUGCACCGCAAACCUGCAGUAUCAUAUGAUAGCUGCACACCCAAAAUCCCGAGUGCAUUUAGAUUGACGCGAUGCCGGCACCCUACACAAGGUAGGGACACACUUGACCGUGACAACCACUCUCCGCUAAAUGGAUGCAGCCGAGGCUGCACCACAAGCGAUCUCACGUGGAUGGUACCAUUCCUCAAACAGGCGUGCUCAUGGUCACCCAUGAGCGCAAUAUGCGUUCAAAAUUUCGAUGAUUCACUGAGCCCUGCAAUUCACACUAGGUAUCGCAUUUCGCUGCGUUCUUCAUCGUUGCGAGAACCAAGAUAUCCAUUGUUAAGAGUUGUUUUUGGAUUCAAAUCGCAGCGCACGACUGGCGCAGGCUGCUAGACUAAGGUUGACUCAGGUUUGGCGCUGCAAGCCUCAGGAAUUCCAUGCCCAGCAGCACCUCAUUUGGUUGUGACAUAUCCGCACAAGAUACUCAGUGACCCAAGCAACUGGACACUCUGGCUAUCCGCACAAGUUCC
RNAcentral lists this ribosomal RNA (3417 nucleotides) under Cryptomonas curvata. Its description in RNAcentral is "Eukaryotic large subunit ribosomal RNA". Lineage: Eukaryota; Cryptophyceae; Cryptomonadales; Cryptomonadaceae. The record is from RNAcentral.